GACGAACGCUGGCGGCGUGCUUAACACAUGCAAGUCGAACGGAAAGGCCCUGCUUGCAGGGUACUCGAGUGGCGAACGGGUGAGUAACACGUGGGUGAUCUGCCCUGCACUUCGGGAUAAGCCCGGGAAACUGGGUCUAAUACCGGAUAGGAGCCAUUUUUAGUGUGAUGGUUGGAAAGUUUUUUCGGUGUAGGGUGAGCUCGCGGCCUAUCAGCUUGUUGGUGGGGUAAUGGCCUACCAAGGCGGCGACGGGUAGCCGGCCUGAGAGGGUGGACGGCCACAUUGGGACUGAGAUACGGCCCAGACUCCUACGGGAGGCAGCAGUGGGGAAUAUUGCACAAUGGGCGCAAGCCUGAUGCAGCGACGCCGCGUGGGGGAUGACGGCCUUCGGGUUGUAAACUCCUUUCGCUAGGGACGAAGCUUUUUGUGACGGUACCUAGAUAAGAAGCACCGGCUAACUACGUG
RNAcentral lists this ribosomal RNA (465 nucleotides) under uncultured bacterium. RNAcentral's name for it is "partial 16S ribosomal RNA". It matches the Rfam family "Bacterial small subunit ribosomal RNA", at positions 28 to 507 of the family's 1533-position model. The record is from RNAcentral.